AAAAACAUGAUAAACCUAUAGGUUCAGCAACAAGUGUGUGUUUGGUUAUUUAUAUUCCGCAGAAUUUCUUAAUCGUGUAUCUGUCAGUGAACCUGAUCGUGUUGUUUUCGGAAAUUUCAUUGAAAUCGUUCGAAAGUGGAAAAAACUCUACUUAAUUUUUAGUUUUACUCCAUGAUUCGAAUUACAAACAAGGCUUCUGUGGGAGGAAUGGUGGCAGAAUGACGAGGCCUUCCAGAUUUCUCCUUUGUCACGAGGUCAGACGCAAUUGGUCCAUCUCGCGAAGCUCUCCAGUUUCAACAUUUUCCAAAUAUUUUAGAAUAUUACAUUGUUUACAUUCGAAUGUCUCUUCUUGGGUGCAACAUCUUGAAUAUUAUUACCAUCAAAUUAUAUACCGAAAUUCAUCUAUAAACUCUGAAGCGUCAAUAUGAAAAAUAAAUAAA
Molecule: long non-coding RNA, 440 nt
Organism: Armigeres subalbatus
Lineage: Eukaryota; Metazoa; Arthropoda; Insecta; Diptera; Culicidae
Exons: 3
Source: RefSeq, a predicted model, not a curated record